AGAUCUCCCUCGCUCCCUCCAGACCAGAGGUAUAGGGGGGGGGGGGCAGCAGUCAGAAGGUAGUGCGUCUGGUAGUCUAGGCAUUCCAGUUCCACGAGAGAACUCAAAGAUUUCGACACACACCUCAGGUGGACAGAUAAUGUGUUAAUGUGGUGUGGCUCAAGCUGAUGUCGAACAGAAGCGUUGUCCCGUUCCAGACUCCCUGCCGUGGUCCUCUGCUGCUGCUGUGUGGUGGGGAAGACUUACUGCAACAGAGUGCAUUGCACCAUUUAACAUUGAUAUUGACUCUUGGAGUUUCCCCUAAAAUAAUGUAUUGAACCAAAAUGGAUAUUUUCCAGGCUUAUGGUGGUGUCCACAUGAACAUAUCCAACACCCCCUGUAAUCUACACCAUGGUGCAUUGGAGUAAUCCAGUAGAUUUGAAUGGGGUAAAAUGUAUUUACUGAACCAGGUGACAUAGCUGUAUUUAAACCAGUGGCCUAGUCAGAUCCAAACUGUCCUCUUGAUUAAGGUCCUGGUGAUACUGGUCCUUAAAGGGGUCAGGUCUGGUCUGGACUGAACUCUGGUGAUGAUUCCCAAUCUUUCAAACAUUUUAUUUUAUGCUUGCCACAAAAUAUUUUCUGACCAAAGUUUUAGCUGUAGCUUUCAUAUUCUUUCUGAAUUAAUACUUUCCAAAUUCACUUUACAUAUUCUCUGGGGUUUUGUGUAUACUGUAUAUUUGUUAUUGAUGUUUCAACAUAUUUUUCAGUAUAAUAUUUGGUUGUUUGAUUUCGUUGUAUUUUACUGUGGUCUAAUUGUUAUUAAGUGUAAGUACGUGUAUCUGGUUGAAUUGAACUUCAACCACCAAGGAACUAUCUGCCUGACAGAUAUUGUAACAAACUGUAAAGGUGUCCGCAUACAUAAGUUCGGUUUGCUCCUAGCAGGCUAGGCGAAGUGAACGUCUGUUCUCGCAGACUCCCUUAAAAUACCUUUGCUUGAAAAACAAGGAAAAAGCUGCAAUAUUACUGUUUGACGCCGUAGCCAGUACACUUUGUCAAAAUAGUCCUGAUUAAUCCAAGAUAACUCAAGAAAUCUGUAAUUCAUUUUGACGGUUUUGCCAAGGUCUUACAUCUAACCAAGAUGUUUGGUACAGUAUUUGUCAAGUGACAAAAUGUGCAUGAAAACAAGAAAAGAUUUUGAAAUUCUUCUUUAUUCCAUGAAUUCCAGUUUGAGGUUUCAACUAUUGACAACCUUCCCUCUCCCAAGCACAGCAGACACAAAAUUGCAUGAUAGUGGUAGAGUUCCGAAAAUAAAAUACAAAAAAAAAAAAUUACAGAGGUAAGGAAAAUAUCCACCAUGUCUGUAUGCCUUCUCAAA
Molecule: long non-coding RNA, 1354 nt
Organism: Oncorhynchus keta (chum salmon)
Lineage: Eukaryota; Metazoa; Chordata; Actinopteri; Salmoniformes; Salmonidae
Exons: 2
Source: RefSeq, a predicted model, not a curated record